This 532-nucleotide ribosomal RNA is filed under the name Fusarium verticillioides. RNAcentral's name for it is "eukaryotic LSU rRNA". The stretch from base 152 to 305 matches the Rfam family "5.8S ribosomal RNA". Lineage: Eukaryota; Fungi; Ascomycota; Sordariomycetes; Hypocreales; Nectriaceae. The record is from RNAcentral.
AGGUUUUAGAAUUUACACUCCCCAACCCCUGUGACUACCAAUUGUUGCCUCGGCGGAUCAGCCCGCUCCCGGUAAAACGGGACGGCCCGCCAGAGGACCCCUAAACUCUGUUUCUAUAUGUAACUUCUGAGUAAAACCAUAAAUAAAUCAAAACUUUCAACAACGGAUCUCUUGGUUCUGGCAUCGAUGAAGAACGCAGCAAAAUGCGAUAAGUAAUGUGAAUUGCAGAAUUCAGUGAAUCAUCGAAUCUUUGAACGCACAUUGCGCCCGCCAGUAUUCUGGCGGGCAUGCCUGUUCGAGCGUCAUUUCAACCCUCAAGCCCCCGGGUUUGGUGUUGGGGAUCGGCGAGCCCUUGCGGCAAGCCGGCCCCGAAAUCUAGUGGCGGUCUCGCUGCAGCUUCCAUUGCGUAGUAGUAAAACCCUCGCAACUGGUACGCGGCGCGGCCAAGCCGUUAAACCCCCAACUUCUGAAUGUUGACCUCGGAUCAGGUAGGAAUACCCGCUGAACUUAAGCAUAUCAAUAAGCGGAGGAA